This 253-nucleotide ribosomal RNA is filed under the name uncultured bacterium. RNAcentral's name for it is "partial 16S ribosomal RNA". It matches the Rfam family "Bacterial small subunit ribosomal RNA", at positions 524 to 776 of the family's 1533-position model. The record is from RNAcentral.
GACAGAGGUGGCAAGCGUUGUUCGGAUUCAUUGGGUGUAAAGGGUUCGUAGGUGGCCCAGCAAGUCUGACGUGAAAUCCCAUGGCUCAACCGUGGAACUGCGUUGGAAACUGCAGGGCUUGAGUACCGCAGAGGUGAAGGGAAUUCCCGGUGUAAGGGUGAAAUCUGUAGAUAUCGGGAGGAACACCAGUGGCGAAGGCGCUUCACUGGGCGGUUACUGACACUGAGGAACGAAAGCAAGGGGAGCAAACAGG